UUCCAUUUCGUUCUCUCCAAAUUGUGUAAACCGAGGCUUGUAGAGCAUAUCUCAAGAGAAAGCUUUCCACUCGAUUACGUUGCAUUUCUGAGACAAUGGUUAUCAGAGUUUGCCAAUCCGUUGUGUAACGCGCCUUGAGAAGGUUCUUUGCAGUGGCUGUCCAAAUUUCCGAGGCAUAGACACAUGUAAAGAAUAGGUGGUCACAGGUUU
RNAcentral lists this long non-coding RNA (210 nucleotides) under Arabidopsis lyrata. Its description in RNAcentral is "long non-coding RNA (ALYR_LNC000433)". Lineage: Eukaryota; Viridiplantae; Streptophyta; Magnoliopsida; Brassicales; Brassicaceae. The record is from RNAcentral.